RNAcentral lists this ribosomal RNA (120 nucleotides) under Helianthus annuus (common sunflower). The record is from RNAcentral. RNAcentral also lists the same sequence under 1 other name. Lineage: Eukaryota; Viridiplantae; Streptophyta; Magnoliopsida; Asterales; Asteraceae.
GGUUGCGAUCAUACCAGCACUAAUGCACCGGAUCCCAUCAGAACUCUGCAGUUAAGCGUGCUUGGGCGAGAGUAGUACUAGGAUGGGUGACCCCCUGGGAAGUCCUCGUGUUGCAACCCC